Molecule: ribosomal RNA, 229 nt
Filed under: uncultured bacterium
Lineage: Bacteria
Description: partial 16S ribosomal RNA
Rfam family: Bacterial small subunit ribosomal RNA
Source: RNAcentral
UCCGUAGGCGGGCAAUUAAGUCAGAGGUGACAUCCCACAGCUCAACUGUGGAACUGCCUUUGAUACUGGUUGUCUUGAGUUAUAGUGAAGUAGAUAGAAUAUGUAGUGUAGCGGUGAAAUGCAUAGAUAUUACAUAGAAUACCGAUUGCGAAGGCAGUCUACUAACUGUAUACUGACGCUAAUGGACGAAAGCGUGGGGAGCGAACAGGAUUAGAUACCCUGGUAGUCC